This 293-nucleotide long non-coding RNA is filed under the name Monodelphis domestica (gray short-tailed opossum). Its description in RNAcentral is "lncRNA (ENSMODG00000039575.1)". Lineage: Eukaryota; Metazoa; Chordata; Mammalia; Didelphimorphia; Didelphidae. The record is from RNAcentral.
UAAUUCAUAGUGGAGCAGUGACUGAAAUUUGGAUCUCCUAAAUCCUAGAUGGCUAUUUUUUUGUAUUAGUUUUCCAGAAUGCAGUUGGAAAUAGAGGAUUAGACCCCAAGAGCAGAAAAUGGUCUCUCUGGCCUGAGCAGCACAAGGAGAAGCAGUUCACCCAAGAAGGGAGAGCCAUUAGGCCAGAUUCUCACUAAAGCUGUCACCAUGAUGAUGAUGGAUGAGAGAAGGCUCUGAAAAUGAACCCAUGGCUAGCUGGAACUGCCUGGGCUGAAGACAGUUUUGGCUACUGC